This 419-nucleotide ribosomal RNA is filed under the name uncultured ammonia-oxidizing beta proteobacterium. Its description in RNAcentral is "bacterial SSU rRNA". It matches the Rfam family "Bacterial small subunit ribosomal RNA", at positions 197 to 597 of the family's 1533-position model. Lineage: Bacteria; Pseudomonadati; Pseudomonadota; Betaproteobacteria. The record is from RNAcentral.
UGGAGGAAAGUAGGGGAUCGUAAGACCUUGCGCUUUUGGAGCGGCCGAUGUCUGAUUAGCUAGUUGGUGGGGUAAUGGCCUACCAAAGCUUCGAUCAGUAGCUGGUCUGAGAGGACGGCCAGCCACACUGGGACUGAGACACGGCCCAGACUCCUACGGGAGGCAGCAGUGGGGAAUUUUGGACAAUGGGCGCAAGCCUGAUCCAGCCAUGCCGCGUGAGUGAAGAAGGCCUUCGGGUUGUAAAGCUCUUUCAGCCGGGAAGAAAAGGCUGCGACUAAUAAUCGCAGUUCAUGACGGUACCGGAAGAAGAAGCACCGGCUAACUACGUGCCAGCAGCCGCGGUAAUACGUAGGGUGCGAGCGUUAAUCGGAAUUACUGGGCGUAAAGGGUGCGCAGGCGGUUUUGUAAGUCAAAUGUGA